UUUCCGUUGGUGAACCAGCGGAAGGAUCAUUACAGAGAUCAUGCCCCUCGUUGGGUAGACCUCCCACCCUGUGUUAUUUACGAUUGUUGCUUUGGCAGGCCGCCAGCUUGCUGGCGCUCGGCUUCGGCUGAGGUGCGCCUGCCAGAGGACCCCCAACUCUGUGUUUAGUGUUGUCUGAGUACUAAGUUAAUACGUUAAAACUUUCAACAACGGAUCUCUUGGUUCUGGCAUCGAUGAAGAACGCAGC
This 247-nucleotide unclassified non-coding RNA is filed under the name uncultured fungus. RNAcentral describes it as "sequence contains ITS1, 5.8S rRNA gene". The stretch from base 199 to 247 matches the Rfam family "5.8S ribosomal RNA", at positions 1 to 49 of the family's 154-position model. Lineage: Eukaryota; Fungi. The record is from RNAcentral.